Molecule: ribosomal RNA, 253 nt
Filed under: uncultured bacterium
Lineage: Bacteria
Description: partial 16S ribosomal RNA
Rfam family: Bacterial small subunit ribosomal RNA
Source: RNAcentral
UACGUAGGGUCCAAGCGUUGUCCGGAGUUACUGGGCGUAAAGCGCGCGCAGGCGGCUUCAUAAGUCUGGCGUGAAAGCCCCCGGCUCAACCGGGGAGGGUCGUCGGAGACUGUGGAGCUUGAGGGCGGUAGGGGCUGGUGGAAUUCCCGGUGUAGCGGUGAAAUGCGUAGAGAUCGGGAGGAACACCAGCGGCGAAGGCGGCAAACUGGAUAGAUACUGACACUCAACAACGAAAGCGUGGGGAGCAAACAGG